This 703-nucleotide long non-coding RNA is filed under the name Triticum aestivum (bread wheat). RNAcentral's name for it is "long non-coding RNA (TAES_LNC020680)". Lineage: Eukaryota; Viridiplantae; Streptophyta; Magnoliopsida; Poales; Poaceae. The record is from RNAcentral.
GCCAAUGCUGCGACCACCCCUCCCCCUCACGAUUUCUCGUUGAUAUCGCUGUAUUCAUGCUUGUUACGUGAGUUGCCUGAUGGAAGUUCUGCAACUGUCAGUCCAGAUGGAAGAAGGAGAUCCAUCCAAAGUGUGAGUUUUGCGACGUCGACGUGCAAGUUCUACAAUUAUCUGUCCAGAUGGGAGAAGGAGAUCAAUCCAACCGACGCAUCUAAAGCGACAUAUGCAGAGCCAUUCGUCUGAGGUAUCGGAAUAAUUCUAUGUUUUAUGUGUUCACUGGAUUUCCGGAUUUUUAGCGCAAGUGAUGCAUUCUGUUUUUGCCUGUUUAGUCCAAGUGGGAGAGCAAAAGUAAGCACUAUCUUCUUAGAAGUUGUGUUUGAAACCCAUUUUUAAUAGUGAAACAAGUAAAUCAGUGUGGUAAAUGCUUUACUGUUAUAGUUCUUAAGUGACUGAAAUUUUGACCAUGUGUUUAGAGUUAAGCAACUACAUAAGUUGCAUGCUGUAUUGAUCUACUUGUCAUGCUGAAGUUCAUAGGCUUCUUAAAAUUUCUAAUAUAAACAAGCUGGUGGCCGCCCAUCUCUGCAUGUAUUUUAUUUCGGAUGUAAGUCUCUCUAUAGAUCAUGUUAUGAGUAAUGCAAUUGGACAAGGUUGCUAGGAAGAUUUUUAGUUCACCUUUAAUGUGAUUUGCACUUCAUAUUUACAG